Molecule: ribosomal RNA, 449 nt
Filed under: uncultured bacterium
Lineage: Bacteria
Description: partial 16S ribosomal RNA
Rfam family: Bacterial small subunit ribosomal RNA
Source: RNAcentral
AAUGAACGCUGGCGGCAUGCCUAACACAUGCAAGUCGAACGAUGCUUUCGGGCAUAGUGGCGCACGGGUGCGUAGCGCGUGGGAAUCUGCCCUUGGGUUCGGAAUAACCGUUAGAAAUGACGGCUAAUACCGGAUGAUGACGUAAGUCCAAAGAUUUAUCGCCCAAGGAUGAGCCCGCGUAGGAUUAGCUGGUUGGUGGGGUAAAGGCCUACCAAGGCGACGAUCCUUAGCUGGUCUGAGAGGAUGAUCAGCCACACUGGGACUGAGACACGGCCCAGACUCCUACGGGAGGCAGCAGUGGGGAAUAUUGGACAAUGGGCGCAAGCCUGAUCCAGCAAUGCCGCGUGAGUGAUGAAGGCCUUAGGGUUGUAAAGCUCUUUUACCCGGGAUGAUAAUGACAGUACCGGGAGAAUAAGCUCCGGCUAACUCCGUGCCAGCCGCCGCCGUAA